This 229-nucleotide ribosomal RNA is filed under the name uncultured bacterium. RNAcentral describes it as "partial 16S ribosomal RNA". It matches the Rfam family "Bacterial small subunit ribosomal RNA", at positions 568 to 796 of the family's 1533-position model. The record is from RNAcentral.
CACGUAGGCUGUCCUGUAAGCGGUGUGUGAAAGCCCGGGGCUCAACCCCGGAACUGCAUACCGAACUGCAGGGCUAGAGGACGAGAGGGGAGUAUGGAACUCUAGGUGGAGCGGUGAAAUGCGUAGAUAUCUAGAGGAACGCCGGUGGCGAAAGCGAUACUCUGGCUCGUCCCUGACGCUGAGGUGCGAAAGCGUGGGUAGCAAACAGGAUUAGAUACCCUGGUAGUCC